CAUUUUUCUGUACAAUAUAUAAAUGCUUGCCCCUCUCCUGUUCUUUUUCAUCAUUCAUUUUUUAAUCUCAACCUCUCUCAUAAAACUCUUCCGAUAAUGAAUUUCUCAGAUCUGCUCUCAUGCUUCUUGAUUUUUCGUUUUUAUCAUCAAUCUCUUUGGUGUUUAUCCAUGGAUGAAUUGUCAAAUUUUAGAUUUGGUCUUAUUAUCUUAUUGCUGGCAUGAUGGUGGUUGAUCGACUCCGAUGCGUCUGGUUUUGGUUUAAUGAAAUUGAUUUCAAGAACAUGAAUCGAUCAUUCUAGAUUCGCGGUUUCACAUAUGAGGAGAAGUCAAAUUCUUGGCCAUUCUCUCGGUUCGUUGAUACAUGUCGCUGAUCCAGUGAUUCAUUGCGGAGGCUGAUAUUUGCGAAGAAUUUGUAGAUCUGCUAUUGCAGUCUGUACUAGUACCAAAAUAUUAGUAUUGGCUUUGUGAUUUGGUUAGAUUUGAAUACGUUAGGAUUUACGUGCGAGGAUAAGUGGUAAAAAAUGUGAGUGAAAAGACGUCCGACCUUUGCCAUGUUGGGUGCGCUCGCAUGGCUGGUCAACCAAUUAAUAAAAAAAACAUAUUUAGCGUGGUGUUGGAGGAAGAUGGCACGGAGAUUUGCCCGGCUCUUCCUCCAAGCGUGUCUCCUCUUUCUUCUCUUUUUGUCUCUGUUUUUCUUUUCGUUAUUCGACAACUUAUCGACCGAUUUCUUCGCCAGUGGUUCAACUCAUCUGCAUACUAUAAACACGCUAAAAGGUACCUCAUAUUCUCUUAAUACUCUUGUAAAUUAUACACUCCUUUUUCUUUUCCGUCGUUACUUUUCUGCACAAUUUUCAAAGUAAAUUUUAAACUAUAAUAUCUAUAUACUUUAUUUGUAUGAAAAGUAAUGGAAGAAAAAGAAAGAAAAGGAGACUUUAUUUGUAUGGAAAGUAAUGGAGGAAAAAGAAAGAAAAGAAUUAGAGUGAUGAAAAUUUCCUUUUUUAGAUAGCGAAAAGGAAGUGAAAGGAUUUGGAGGGAUUAACUUACCUUAAUUGGAAGGAAAAUGAUAUUCCUUUCUUUCCCCUCCCUUUUCUUCCUAUACAUACAAUCAGAGCUAUUUCAAAAAAUUUAGGAGUCUCGGAAAAAAUUUUUAUUUUGCGCCUCAUUUAUAGUAAAUAUAUUUAUUUUAUUCAUAAAUUUAAGAAUUUUUUUUUUGGAUUAAUUUUUUCAUAUACCGGAGAAAAUUGGGACCCUGUGCAAUCAAUCACUCGCGUACCCUUAAAUCCCCUUUGCAAACAAUAUAGUCUUUUCCCUUUCCUUCCUUCCCCUUCCCUUUCUCUCUUUUUUCUCAUUAUUUGCUAUAUACAUUAUAAAAAAUUAUAAAAAAUAUAAUAAAAAGGUAUACAUUAAGACAAAUGACAAUCAAUUAUUAUUUCAUCCCGAUACCAAUCAAUUAUUGCCAUAACAUACUACUUCAUGUAAUACAAAGGAUAGCAGUAGGCUAAUCCAACAUUUAUCUGUUACGAUACAGAUUAAUUCUUACAAUUUGAAUGCUGAUAGAAUCAAAAGUUGAAUUUACAAUUACAUUUUACCUGCAAAAAAGUAUUAUCACAAUUCAAUUUACAGUAGUUAUAAACAAUCCAAUGCAGUAAUUUCAAUCUAAUAGUUCAUGGUUCUUUCUUCCUAGUGGAAAUUGACGCCAACAUAUUACAAUCUUUUUCUCUCAUAUUGCUCAAUUAUAUAGGUUGCUAAAAUAGUGUUAAUUGUUAAUUCUUGUUGAGAUUGUGUUCUAAAUUACACUUCACAUUUUUUAUUGCAAUUUAUGUUCCCUGUGCGGUAUACCGUCUGUAGAUGUGUACCUUGUGUAUUGCCGCAUGGGUAAAGCUUGUAAGUAACUAAGUAUUGAUAAAUCAAACUGUUUUAUGUGGUUUACGGUAUUGUUUGAUGGCCAAGACUUGAUCAUGAAGGUGAUGGACAAGCCCGGCACUUCAGGGUUGUUGCGAGGAUUUCUUUUAUGAAUCUUAGAUAGUUAUCUCUAUUUAUUUAAGUUUAUGCAGGAUUUUUUAUCGAUUACUUGAUGCUAUUAUUAAGUUCUAUAGUUGGCUUUGAACGAAAUACAUUUAAUUUUAAGUGUUUUGGAUUGAUGUUUA
Amaranthus tricolor (Joseph's coat) is the source of this 2147-nucleotide long non-coding RNA. RefSeq lists it as uncharacterized. The record is from RefSeq and is a predicted model, not a curated record. The transcript has 2 exons. Lineage: Eukaryota; Viridiplantae; Streptophyta; Magnoliopsida; Caryophyllales; Amaranthaceae.